AAAAAAUUAGUUAACAUAUAAUAUAAGUUUGUCAAACUUACGUCAUCUUCUUAGAUAUUUUUUA
Molecule: transfer RNA, 64 nt
Filed under: Stereomastis sculpta
Lineage: Eukaryota; Metazoa; Arthropoda; Malacostraca; Decapoda; Crangonidae
Description: tRNA-Asp
Source: RNAcentral